GACGAACGCUGGCGGCGUGCUUAACACAUGCAAGUCGAACGGGAUUUAGUAGACAGAAGCCUCGGCUAAAGAUUACUAAUGAGAGUGGCGAACGGGUGAGUAACGCGUGAGCAACCUGCCUAUGACAGUGGGAUAGCCUCGGGAAACCGGGAUUAAUACCGCAUAAAAUCGUAGAAACACAUGUUUUAAAGGUUAAAGAUUUAUCGGUCAUAGAUGGGGUCGCGUCUGAUUAGCUAGUUGGUGAGAUAACAGCCCACCAAGGCGACGAUCAGUAGCCGGUCUGAGAGGAUGAACGGCCACAUUGGAACUGAGACACGGUCCAAACUCCUACGGGAGGCAGCAGUGGGGAAUAUUGCACAAUGGGGGAAACCCUGAUGCAGCGACGCCGCGUGAACGAAGAAGGUAUUCGUAUCGUAAAGUUCUGUCCUAUGGGAAGAUAAUGACAGUACCAUAGAAGAAAGCUCCGGCUAAAUACGUG
RNAcentral lists this ribosomal RNA (478 nucleotides) under uncultured bacterium. Its description in RNAcentral is "partial 16S ribosomal RNA". It matches the Rfam family "Bacterial small subunit ribosomal RNA", at positions 28 to 507 of the family's 1533-position model. The record is from RNAcentral.